CAGCCAGACUCCUACGGGAGGCAGCAGUGGGGAAUAUUGGGCAAUGGGCGCAAGCCUGACCCAGCAACGCCGCGUGAAGGAAGAAGGCUUUCGGGUUGUAAACUUCUUUUGACAGGGAGGAGCAGAAGACGGUACCUCUUGAAUAAGCCACGGCUAACUACGUGCCAGCAGCCGCGGUAAUACGUAGGUGGCAAGCGUUAUCCGGAUUUAUUGGGUGUAAAGGGCGUGUAGGCGGGAAAGCAAGUCAGAUGUGAAAACUAUGGGCUCAACCCAUAGCCUGCAUUUGAAACUGUUUUUCUUGAGUGCUGGAGAGGCGACCGGAAUUCCGUGUGUAGCGGUGAAAUGCGUAGAUAUACGGAGGAACACCAGUGGCGAAGGCGGAUUGCUGGACAGUAACUGACGCUGAGGCGCGAAAGCGUGGGGAGCAAACAGGAUUAGAUACCCUGAUACA
RNAcentral lists this ribosomal RNA (451 nucleotides) under uncultured bacterium. RNAcentral describes it as "partial 16S ribosomal RNA". It matches the Rfam family "Bacterial small subunit ribosomal RNA", at positions 328 to 794 of the family's 1533-position model. The record is from RNAcentral.